RNAcentral lists this ribosomal RNA (643 nucleotides) under Kocuria sp. MJT4. Its description in RNAcentral is "bacterial SSU rRNA". It matches the Rfam family "Bacterial small subunit ribosomal RNA", at positions 128 to 783 of the family's 1533-position model. The record is from RNAcentral. Lineage: Bacteria; Bacillati; Actinomycetota; Actinomycetes; Micrococcales; Micrococcaceae.
GCCCUUGACUCUGGGAUAAGCCUGGGAAACUGGGUCUAAUACUGGAUACUACCUCUUGCCGCAUGGUGGGUGGUGGAAAGGGUUUUACUGGUUUUGGAUGGGCUCACGGCCUAUCAGCUUGUUGGUGGGGUAAUGGCUCACCAAGGCGACGACGGGUAGCCGGCCUGAGAGGGUGACCGGCCACACUGGGACUGAGACACGGCCCAGACUCCUACGGGAGGCAGCAGUGGGGAAUAUUGCACAAUGGGCGGAAGCCUGAUGCAGCGACGCCGCGUGAGGGAUGACGGCCUUCGGGUUGUAAACCUCUUUCAGUAGGGAAGAAGCGAGAGUGACGGUACCUGCAGAAGAAGCGCCGGCUAACUACGUGCCAGCAGCCGCGGUAAUACGUAGGGCGCAAGCGUUGUCCGGAAUUAUUGGGCGUAAAGAGCUCGUAGGCGGUUUGUCGCGUCUGCUGUGAAAGCCCGGGGCUCAACCCCGGGUCUGCAGUGGGUACGGGCAGACUAGAGUGCAGUAGGGGAGACUGGAAUUCCUGGUGUAGCGGUGAAAUGCGCAGAUAUCAGGAGGAACACCGAUGGCGAAGGCAGGUCUCUGGGCUGUUACUGACGCUGAGGAGCGAAAGCAUGGGGAGCGAACAGGAUUAGAU